This 207-nucleotide long non-coding RNA is filed under the name Capsicum annuum. Its description in RNAcentral is "long non-coding RNA (CANN_LNC002928)". The record is from RNAcentral. Lineage: Eukaryota; Viridiplantae; Streptophyta; Magnoliopsida; Solanales; Solanaceae.
AUGGCAUCUAUGAAUGCUUUAUGUCAUUACAUGGCCGAAAAAAGUAGGCCUCGUUUUAAAUACUAUGUAGUAAUUCAUGGAAAAACUAAUGGCAUUUUUCAAACUUGGUUAGAAGUAUUAGAUUCUAUACAGGGUUUUAAAGCCCCUCUUUUUAAAGGUUUUAAUGAUUUUACAGAAGCUACUAAUCAUGCUAGGGGAUAUUUAGGC